UACGUAGGGGGCUAGCGUUGUCCGGAUUUAUUGGGCGUAAAGAGCUCGUAGGUGGUUUGUCGCGUUGUCCGUGAAAACUCACAGCUUAACUGUGGGCGUGCGGGCGAUACGGGCAGACUGGAGUACUGCAGGGGAGACUGGAAUUCCUGGUGUAGCGGUGGAAUGCGCAGAUAUCAGGAGGAACACCGGUGGCGAAGGCGGGUCUCUGGGCAGUAAUUGACGCUGAGGAGCGAAAGCGUGGGGAGCGAACAGG
RNAcentral lists this ribosomal RNA (253 nucleotides) under uncultured bacterium. RNAcentral's name for it is "partial 16S ribosomal RNA". It matches the Rfam family "Bacterial small subunit ribosomal RNA", at positions 524 to 776 of the family's 1533-position model. The record is from RNAcentral.